GUUUACCUGUGUGUUGAUAGUAUUCAACACCAAGGACAGGUGUGUUUACAGGUGAUUACCUGUGUGUGUACUGUGUUUGGCAUGGUGUUCAGUAUCAAGGACAGAUGUGUUUACCU
This 116-nucleotide microRNA precursor is filed under the name Branchiostoma floridae (Florida lancelet). RNAcentral describes it as "mir-2060 microRNA precursor family". It matches the Rfam family "mir-2060 microRNA precursor family". Lineage: Eukaryota; Metazoa; Chordata; Leptocardii; Amphioxiformes; Branchiostomatidae. The record is from Rfam by way of RNAcentral.